AGAGUUUGAUCAUGGCUCAGGAUGAACGCUGGCGGCGUGCCUAACACAUGCAAGUCGAGCGAUUUACUUCGGUAAAGAGCGGCGGACGGGUGAGUAACGCGUGGGUAACCUGCCCUAUACACACGGAUAACAUACCGAAAGGUAUGCUAAUACGAGAUAAUAUAAGAGAUUCACAUGGAUUUCUUAUCAAAGCUGAGGCGGUAUAGGAUGGACCCGCGUCUGAUUAGCUAGUUGGUAAGGUAACGGCUUACCAAGGCGACGAUCAGUAGCCGACCUGAGAGGGUGAUCGGCCACAUUGGAACUGAGACACGGUCCAAACUCCUACGGGAGGCAGCAGUGGGGAAUAUUGCACAAUGGGCGAAAGCCUGAUGCAGCAACGCCGCGUGAGUGAUGAAGGCCUUCGGGUCGUAAAACUCUGUCCUCAAGGAAGAUAAUGACGGUACUUGAGGAGGAAGCCCCGGCUAACUACGUGCCAGCAGCCGCGGUAAUACGUAGGGGGCUAGCGUUAUCCGGAUUUACUGGGCGUAAAGGGUGCGUAGGUGGUCUCUUAAGUCAGGAGUGAAAGGCUACGGCUUAACCGUAGUAAGCUCUUGAAACUGGGAGACUUGAGUGCAGGAGAGGAAAGUGGAAUUCCUAGUGUAGCGGUGAAAUGCGUAGAUAUUAGGAGGAACACCAGUAGCGAAGGCGGCUUUCUGGACUGUAACUGACACUGAGGCACGAAAGCGUGGGGAGCAAACAGGAUUAGAUACCCUGGUAGUCCACGCCGUAAACGAUGAGUACUAGGUGUCGGGGGUUACCCCCCUCGGUGCCGCAGCUAACGCAUUAAGUACUCCGCCUGGGGAGUACGCUCGCAAGAGUGAAACUCAAAGGAAUUGACGG
This 879-nucleotide ribosomal RNA is filed under the name uncultured bacterium. RNAcentral describes it as "bacterial SSU rRNA". It matches the Rfam family "Bacterial small subunit ribosomal RNA", at positions 8 to 916 of the family's 1533-position model. The record is from RNAcentral.